RNAcentral lists this ribosomal RNA (253 nucleotides) under uncultured bacterium. RNAcentral's name for it is "partial 16S ribosomal RNA". It matches the Rfam family "Bacterial small subunit ribosomal RNA", at positions 524 to 776 of the family's 1533-position model. The record is from RNAcentral.
UACGGAGGGUGCAAGCGUUAUCCGGAUUUACUGGGUUUAAAGGGUGCGUAGGCGGGCCCUUAAGUCAGUGGUGAAAGCUCCGAGCUUAACUCGGAAACUGCCAUUGAUACUAUAGGUCUUGAAUUCGGUCGAGGUUGGCGGAAUGUGUCGUGUAGCGGUGAAAUGCUUAGAUAUGACACAGAACACCGAUUGCGAAGGCAGCUAGCUAGACCGACAUUGACGCUGAGGCACGAAAGCGUGGGGAGCAAACAGG